GUGAGGAAUAUUGCGCAAUGGAGGCAACUCUGACGCAGCCAUGCCGCGUGCAGGAAGAAGGCGCUACGCGUUGUAAACUGCUUUUAACCGGGAAGAAACCCCAGGACGUGUCCUGGGUUGACGGUACCGGAGGAAUAAGCACCGGCUAACUUCGUGCCAGCAGCCGCGGUAAUACGAAGGGUGCAAGCGUUAUCCGGAUUCAUUGGGUUUAAAGGGUGCGUAGGCGGAGCUUUAAGUCAGUGGUGAAAUCCUGCAGCUUAACUGUAGACUUGCCAUUGAUACUGGCGCUCUUGAGUGCGCUUGAAGUGGGCGGAAUGUGCCGUGUAGCGGUGAAAUGCUUAGAUAUGGCACAGAACACCAAUUGCGAAGGCAGCUCACUAAGGCGAUACUGACGCUGAGGCACGAAAGCGUGGGGAUCGAACAGGAUUAGAUACCCGUGUAGUCC
RNAcentral lists this ribosomal RNA (445 nucleotides) under uncultured bacterium. RNAcentral describes it as "partial 16S ribosomal RNA". It matches the Rfam family "Bacterial small subunit ribosomal RNA", at positions 354 to 796 of the family's 1533-position model. The record is from RNAcentral.